RNAcentral lists this long non-coding RNA (201 nucleotides) under Medicago truncatula (barrel medic). RNAcentral's name for it is "long non-coding RNA (MTRU_LNC001814)". The record is from RNAcentral. Lineage: Eukaryota; Viridiplantae; Streptophyta; Magnoliopsida; Fabales; Fabaceae.
AACCCCAAACUUGAAUCAUUCCUUGUCCUCAAGGAAUUUACUUGUAACAUUGACAAUCGACAGUAAAAUAACAAUUACCUGAUCAAGCGAUAGUAUCCAAAAGUUCAACACCUUACUAGCUAAAGAUGAGCUAGUUUGACUUGUUAGCAACCACCAAUUCACAACUCCACACAACAAUAUAAAAGGGUUCACACACAGUCG